This 253-nucleotide ribosomal RNA is filed under the name uncultured bacterium. Its description in RNAcentral is "partial 16S ribosomal RNA". It matches the Rfam family "Bacterial small subunit ribosomal RNA", at positions 524 to 776 of the family's 1533-position model. The record is from RNAcentral.
UACGGGGGGGGCAAGCGUUGUUCGGAAUUACUGGGCGUAAAGGGCUCGUAGGCGGCCAACUAAGUCAAACGUGAAAUCCCUCGGCUUAACCUGGGAACUGCAUUUGUGACUGCAUAGCUAGAGUACGGUAGAGGGGGAUGGAAUUCCGCGUGUAGCAGUGAAAUGCGUAGAUAUGCGGAGGAACACCGAUGGCGAAGGCAAUCCCCUGGACCUGUACUGACGCUCAUGCACGAAAGCGUGGGGAGCAAACAGG